This 410-nucleotide ribosomal RNA is filed under the name uncultured bacterium. RNAcentral's name for it is "bacterial SSU rRNA". It matches the Rfam family "Bacterial small subunit ribosomal RNA", at positions 370 to 772 of the family's 1533-position model. The record is from RNAcentral.
AAUGGGCGCAAGCCUGAUGCAGCCAUGCCGCGUGUAUGAGGAAGGCCUUCGGGUUGUAAAGUACUUUCAGCGGGGAGGAAGGGAGUAAAGUUAAUACCUUUGCUCAUUGACGUUACCCGCAGAAGAAGCACCGGCUAACUCCGUGCCAGCAGCCGCGGUAAUACGGAGGGUGCAAGCGUUAAUCGGAAUUACUGGGCGUAAAGCGCACGCAGGCGGUUUGUUAAGUCAGAUGUGAAAUCCCCGGGCUCAACCUGGCAACUGCAUCUGAUACUGGAGAGCUUGAGUCUCGUAGAGGGGGGUAGAAUUCCAGGUGUAGCGGUGAAAUGUGUAGAGAUCUGGAGGAAUACCGGUGGCGAAGGCGGCUUUCUGGACUGUAACUGACACUGAGGCACGAAAGCGUGGGGAGCAAA